AAACAACUAGGGAUUAUUUAACAUGGUUUAACUUACCUUUAGUUCUACAUAACCUGCAUGAGCUCAUGGCCUUUUUACAAAUAAUAUAACAAGUCAUGGAGUAGAUUGUUUGAAUUGCCUUUAUAAUAGUCAUUUUGUAUGUAGCUUUCCUUUUUCUGGACCAAAUUACUUCGCUAAUUUUAGAAGGAAAGUAACUUGCAUCUGAUAACAAGAAAUUGAAACCCUGAGUUUCUUUUAUUAGGACGGAUGUGAUUUUGGAAUUAAUUUUCUUUGUAAAACUAGACUGACUUCAAGCAAAAAGUCUCUGCUUGGCCAAACUUUAGGUGAGCUUCUGAACGUUUUCCUAGGCCCAUUUGUGCACUUCCUUGUAAAAUCCAGUUUUAGGAAGAGAACCCUGCUAAGUCAGUUUAGCCAGGAACCCCUAUCCUUGAUAUCUGAUCAUCCUUCACAUCUGAUCAGGCUUCUCAUCUUCUACCACCCCCAGGUGACACCCAAUCACCCUGGCCUGUCUUCAGCAAGAAUCCUGUUAGGAUGGUUUAGUCAGAAUCCCUACCUCUGAUGUUUCCUCUUAGUAAUUUUCCACCCCUUGGCCAUAAAUUCCCACUUGCUUAUGUUGUAUUUGGAGGGGAGCCCAGUCUCUCUCCCUUACUGCAAGACCUCAUUGCAAUGGUUCCUGUACCUAUUAACAAUGGUCCUGAAUAAAGUCUUCCUUACAAUGCUGUAACAACUAUCAUUGAAUAAUUUUUUUCUUUAACAAGAUAUGCAAAAGGUGUUGUGGACCCAUAGAGGGAGAAACAUCUAAAUCAGUCUGGGAGAUAUUGGAAGUCACUAAAUACCAUGUUUGUAGCCUCUUAAUUUUUCCUGCAGGUGAGAAUACAGAGUGGUUACAUUAUACAAAGAAAUAGUUAACAUCAGCUUCCAUAGCUUAUUUUUAAAACUCUAGGAAGUAAUGUGGUUUCAAGAUCUCCAAGUUGAGAAAAUACUGAUUUGGCCUCUUAGAAGCACAUUUUAUGAAAAGCUUAAAACUACUCCUCCUGCUUUGAGAAUAGAAUCAUGAUAGCUUACAGUAUUGAAAUGCCUCCAGAAGAGGAGAGGUGAAAUGGAAAUUUGGAGUUUUAUUUUUGGUUUUAUUUUUUGUUUUAGUUUUUUAGCACUGGGGUUUCACUAUGUUGUCCAGGCUGGAGUGCAGUGGCUAUUCACAGGCACAAAAUCCUGGAUUCAUGCAAUCCUCCUACCUCAGUCUCCAGAGUGGGUAGGACUACGGCAUGUCACCACCUUGCUAUUCAUUUUUCUUAAAAGGAAUUAGAAACCAUUUAGAAGGACAGUGAGCCAAUGCUUGAAGCUUAAUUUGAAGUAACUUGAGUACACUCAUCAAAUACCCUAUGGCAUUUAUAUUUAUGCAAGAAUAAGUAUGGCACUCAUCGAACUCUCCUGCAGCUCUCGGGAUUCCUGUGGCUUUCUUCAUUGUUGGGGCCAGGCCUACAUGCCAGCAACCAUGUCGAAGGGUCCUGCCGUUCAUAUUGAUCUUGGCACCACCUACUCUUGUAUAGGUGUUUUCCAGCAUGGAAAAGUAGAAAUAAUUGCUUUGUGUAUGAUCAGGGAAACUGAAUCACUACAAGCUAUGUCACCUUUGCAGACACUGAACUAUUGACCGGUGUUGCCGCAAAGAAUCAAGUUGCAAUGGACCCCACCAACAUGGUUUUUGAUGCCAAACAUCUGAUUGGACGCAGAUUUGAUGAUGAUGUUGUCCAGUCUGAUAUGAAGCAUUGGCCCUUCAUGGUGAUGAAUGAUGCUGGCAGGCCCAAGGUCCAAGUAGAAUACAAUGGAGAGACCAAAAGCUUCUAUCCAGAGGAGGUAUCCUCUAUGGUUCUAACAAAGACGAAGGAAAUUGCAGAAGCCUGCCUUGGAAGACUGUUACCAAUGCUGUGGUCACAGUGCCAGCUUAUUUUAAUGACUCUCACCAUCAGGCUACCAAAGAUGCUGUAACUAUUGCUGGUCUCAAUGUACUUAGAAUUAUAAAUGAGCCAAAUGCUGCUGCUAUUGCCUACAGCUUAGACAAAAAGGUUGGAGCAGAAAGAAAUGUGUUAAUCUUUGACCUGGGAGGUGGCACUUUUGAUGUGUCAAUCCUCACUAUUGGGGAUGGAAUCUUUGAGGUCAAGUCUACAGCUGGAGACACCCACUUGGGUGGAGAAUAUUUUGGUAACCAAAUGAUUAACCAUUUUAUUGCUGCGUUCAAGCACAAGCAUAAGAAGGACAUAAGUGAGAACAAGAGAGCAGUAAGACACCUCCAUACUGCUUGUGAGUGUGCUCAGUGUACUCUCUCUUCCAGUACCCAGGCCAGUAUUCAGAUCAAUUCUCUCUAUGAAGGAAUCGACUUCUGUACCUCCAUUACCCAUACCCAAUUUGAAGAAUUGAAUGCUGACCUGUUCCAUGGCACCCUGGAUUCCAUAGAGAAGGCCCUUCAAGAUGCCAAACUAGACAAGUUACAGAUCAUGAUACUGUCCUGGUUGGUGGUUCUACUCGCAUCCCCAAGAUUCAGAAGCUUCUCCAAGACUUCUUCAAUGGAAAAGAACUGAAUAAGAGCAUCAACCCUGAUGAAUCUGUUACUUAUGGUGCAGCUGUCCAGGCCACCAUCCUGUCUGGAGACAAGUCUGAAAAUGUUCAAGAUUUGCUGCUUUUGGAUGUCACUCCUCUUUCCCUUGGUAUUGAAACUGCUGGUGGAGUAAUGACUGUCCUCAUCAAGCAUAAUACUACCAUUCCUACAAAGCAGACACAGACCUUCACUACCUAUUCUAACAACCAGCCUGAUGUGCUUACUCAGGUUUAUGAAGGUGAGUGUGCCAUGACCAAGGAUAACAGCCUGCCUGGCAAGUUUGAAUUCACAGGCAUACCUCCUGUACCCCAAUGUGUUCCUCAGAUUGAAGUCACUUUUGACAUUGAUGCCAAUGGCAUCCUCAAUGUGUCUGCUGUAGACAAGAGUACAGGAGAAGAGAACAAAAUUACUAUCACUAAUGACAAGGGCUGUUUGAGCAAGGAAGACAUUGAAUGCAUGGUCCAGGAAGCUGAGAAAUACAAAGCUGAAGAUGAGAAGCAGACGGACAAAGUAUCAUCUAAGAGUUUACUUGAGUCCUAUGCUUUCAACAUGACAGCAACUGUCAAAGAUGAGAAACUUCAAUGCAAGAUUAACAAUGAGGACAAACAGAGAAGAUUCUGGACAAGUGUAAUGAAAUUAUCAACUGGCUCAAUAAGAAUCAGACUGCUGAGAAGGAAGAAUUUGAACAUCAGCAGAAAGGGCUGGAGGAAGUCUGCAACCCCAUCAUCACCAAGCUGUACCAGAGUACAGGAGGCAUGCCAGGAGGAAUGCCUGGGGGAUUCCCUGGUGGUGGAGUUCCUCCCUCUGGUGGUGCUUCCUCAGGGCCCACCAUUGAAGAGGUUGAUUAAGCCAACCCAAGUAUAGAAGUAGAAAUGUUCCACACAUGUAAAACACUGCAGGACCUAAAUUUGUAGCAAAUUCUGUGGCAGUUUUAAAAAGUUCAGCUGCUAUAGUAAGUUACUGGGCAUUCUCAAUACUUGAAUAUGGAACAUAUGCACUUGGGAAGGAAAUAACAUUGCACUUUAUAAACACUGUAUUCUAAGUGAAAAAUGCAAUGUCUUAAAUAAAACUAUUUAAAAUUGGCAC
Molecule: non-coding RNA, 3679 nt
Organism: Callithrix jacchus (white-tufted-ear marmoset)
Lineage: Eukaryota; Metazoa; Chordata; Mammalia; Primates; Cebidae
Source: RefSeq, a predicted model, not a curated record